AGUGAACGCUGGCGGUAGGCCUAACACAUGCAAGUCGAACGGCAGCACAGUAAGAGCUUGCUCUUACGGGUGGCGAGUGGCGGACGGGUGAGGAAUACAUCGGAAUCUACUUUUUCGUGGGGGAUAACGUAGGGAAACUUACGCUAAUACCGCAUACGACCUACGGGUGAAAGCAGGGGAUCUUCGGACCUUGCGCGAUUGAAUUAGCCGAUGUCGGAUUAGCUAGUUGGCGAGGUAAAGGCCCACCAAGGCGACGAUCCGUAGCGGGUCUGAGAGGAUGAUCAGCCACACUGGAACUGAGACACGGUCCAGACUCCUACGGGAGGCAGCAGUGGGGAAUCUUGGACAAUGGGCGCAAGCCUGAUCCAGCCAUACCGCGUGGGUGAAGAAGGCCUUCGGGUUGUAAAGCCCUUUUGUCGGGAAAGAAAAGCAGCAUGUUAAUACCCCGCUGUUCUGACGGUACCCAAAGAAUAAGCACCGGCUAACUUCGUG
RNAcentral lists this ribosomal RNA (492 nucleotides) under uncultured bacterium. RNAcentral describes it as "partial 16S ribosomal RNA". It matches the Rfam family "Bacterial small subunit ribosomal RNA", at positions 29 to 507 of the family's 1533-position model. The record is from RNAcentral.